CCUCUUCUUCUUCGGAAGAUGAGGUAACCCGGCGGAUGGCUCAGUAACACGUGGAUAACUUGCCCUUGGGUCUGGGAUAACCCCUGGGAAACUGGGGCUAAUACCGGAUAGAGCAUCGAUCGCUGGAAUGCAUGAUGCUCGAAAACUACGGUGCCCAAGGAUAGGUCUGCGGCUGAUUAGGUUGUUGUUGAUGUAAUGGACCAACAAGCCUACGAUCGGUACGGGUUGUGAGAGCAAUAGCCCGGAGAUGGGUUCUGAGAAAAGAACCCAGGUCCUACGGGACGCAUCAGGCGCGAAAACUUUACAAUGUGCGAAAGCACGAUAAGGGAACUCUGAGUGCCCCCUAAGGGGGCUGUUCUAGUGUCUAAAAAGCAAUAUAAGUAAGGGCUGGGCAAGACCGGUGCCAGCCGCCGCGGUAACACCGGCAGCCCAAGUGGUAGCCACGUUUAUUGGGUCUAAAGCGUUCGUAGCCGGGUUGGUAAGUUCUUUGGUAAAUUUAGCCGCUUAAACGGUUAAACUUUUCAGGAAAUACUGCUUUUGCUUGGGACUGGGGAAAA
RNAcentral lists this ribosomal RNA (557 nucleotides) under uncultured archaeon. Its description in RNAcentral is "bacterial SSU rRNA". It matches the Rfam family "Archaeal small subunit ribosomal RNA", at positions 56 to 608 of the family's 1478-position model. The record is from RNAcentral.